UACAAACUUUAGGGGUGCCCAACUGCUGGGCUGAGAUCAUACCCUUUGAACCUGAUGCGGGUCAUACCGACGAAGGAAAAAGUGUUCCAUACCCA
This 95-nucleotide non-coding RNA is filed under the name Lunatimonas lonarensis. RNAcentral describes it as "TPP sequence". It matches the Rfam family "TPP riboswitch aptamer (THI element)". From Rfam's summary of the family: Vitamin B(1) in its active form thiamin pyrophosphate (TPP) is an essential coenzyme that is synthesised by coupling of pyrimidine and thiazole moieties in bacteria. Lineage: Bacteria; Pseudomonadati; Bacteroidota; Cytophagia; Cytophagales; Cyclobacteriaceae. The record is from Rfam by way of RNAcentral.